UGGGGAAUAUUGGACAAUGGGCGAAAGCCUGAUCCAGCCAUGCCGCGUGUGUGAAGAAGGUCUUCGGAUUGUAAAGCACUUUAAGUUGGGAGGAAGGGCAGUAAGCGAAUACCUUGCUGUUUUGACGUUACCGACAGAAUAAGCACCGGCUAACUCUGUGCCAGCAGCCGCGGUAAUACAGAGGGUGCAAGCGUUAAUCGGAAUUACUGGGCGUAAAGCGCGCGUAGGUGGUUCGUUAAGUUGAAUGUGAAAGCCCCGGGCUCAACCUGGGAACUGCAUCCAAAACUGGCGGGGUAGAGGAGGGGAGGGGGUGGUGGGAAUUCCUGUGUAGCGGUGAAAUGCGUAGGUAUAGGGAGGAACACCAGUGGCGGAGGCGACCACCUGGGCUCAUACUGACACUGGGGUGCGAAAGCGUGGGGAGCAAACAGG
This 429-nucleotide ribosomal RNA is filed under the name Pseudomonadota bacterium. RNAcentral describes it as "Proteobacteria bacterium partial 16S ribosomal RNA". It matches the Rfam family "Bacterial small subunit ribosomal RNA", at positions 355 to 776 of the family's 1533-position model. The record is from RNAcentral. Lineage: Bacteria; Pseudomonadati; Pseudomonadota.